Long non-coding RNA from Bradysia coprophila, 815 nucleotides. RefSeq lists it as uncharacterized. The record is from RefSeq and is a predicted model, not a curated record. Lineage: Eukaryota; Metazoa; Arthropoda; Insecta; Diptera; Sciaridae.
GUUCAGCAAGAAACGAACUGGUCAGUUGUACAGUUCUAUCAGAGACAUUCACACAGCAUGUCCUCUGCACUCGUAAAAUGUGCGCUCUUGUUCGCUCUGUCGAUAUAUUUUGUUCUUGGCGAUGCAGAACCGCCAAAAUUAAAAGAGUGUGAGUUGGCGAACAUGUUCUUCCGGCACGGUUUCAAUCAAUACCAAUCCCGCUUUUCAAUAUGCUACGCAAAAUCGAAACAGUUUCGGCCCAAAGAAGUAAUUCCGUACCGACACCAUCAGGACGGCAAAGCCAUAUUUUUCUACGGAAUGUUUCCCAUCACGACACCAUAUUGCGACGAUAUACCGGGACAGGAUAGUGUGUGUGGGAUAAGGUGUAAACAUACGAUGGACUAUAAUAUAGAAAAUGAAGUGUUGUGCAUGAAGCACAUGUUUGCGUCGAAUAUGAGUGAAGAGGUGUCGGGAUACUAUAAAAGAGAGGAAUCAAAACUGUCGGACUGUAUGCGAACGAUCUUUAACCCAUGUCGUUUCGUUGGACCUGGAGGCCGGGCGAAUAAUGGUGAACCAAUUUUCUUGGGUUAACGUUGUUGCACCGCGAAUAAUUGCGUCGUAAUUUAUGUUGUUUUAUAGUUGGAAUCAUAGAAUUUCCAGUGACACUAUGUUUGUACCUUUGCAUUAUUCUUUAUAUCAUUGAGAAACUGGUCUGAGACGGUCGAAUUGGCAGAUGUGUGGCGACGCUGUUUUGAUACUUCAAUGACGCUCAUAUAUCAAAAGAUGUUCGUAAAUAAUGGCUUUCGUUUCGGAAAUAUUAUGAAAAUUAGACCGAG